CAGUAGCCGCGGGAACACGGAGGGAGCUAGCGUUGUUCGGAAUUACUGAGCGUAAAGCGCGCGUAGGCGGUUACUCAAGUCAGAGGUGAAAGCCCGGGGCUCAACCCCGGAACUGCCUUUGAAACUAGGUGACUAGAAUCUUGGAGAGGUCAGUGGAAUUCCGAGUGUAGAGGUGAAAUUCGUAGAUAUUCGGAAGAACACCAGUGGCGAAGGCGACUGACUGGACAAGUAUUGACGCUGAGGUGCGAAAGCGUGGGGAGCAAACAGGAUUAGAUACCCCGGUAGUCCCUGUCUCUUAUAC
This 301-nucleotide ribosomal RNA is filed under the name uncultured bacterium. RNAcentral's name for it is "partial 16S ribosomal RNA". It matches the Rfam family "Bacterial small subunit ribosomal RNA", at positions 509 to 807 of the family's 1533-position model. The record is from RNAcentral.